Molecule: ribosomal RNA, 332 nt
Filed under: uncultured bacterium
Lineage: Bacteria
Description: bacterial SSU rRNA
Rfam family: Bacterial small subunit ribosomal RNA
Source: RNAcentral
CGUGUAGGCGGUUGGUCAAGUCGGGUGUGAAAGCCUGGGGCUCAGCCCCAGAAGUGCAUCCGAAACUAGCCAGCUAGGGCGCGAUAGAGGAGGGUGGAAUUCCUGGUGUAGCGGUGAAAUGCGUAGAUAUCAGGAGGAACACCGGCGGCGAAGGCGGCCCUCUGGAUCGUUGCUGACGCUGAGACGCGAAAGCGUGGGGAGCAAACAGGAUUAGAUACCCUGGUAGUCCACGCCUUAAACGAUGGGUACUAGGUGUUCGGGGUGUUGACCCCCUGAGUGCCGCAGUUAACGCAUUAAGUACCCCGCCUGGGGACUACGGCCGCAAGGUUAAA